Long non-coding RNA from Notothenia coriiceps (black rockcod), 233 nucleotides. RefSeq lists it as uncharacterized. The record is from RefSeq and is a predicted model, not a curated record. Lineage: Eukaryota; Metazoa; Chordata; Actinopteri; Perciformes; Nototheniidae. The transcript has 3 exons.
GCUCUGUUCUUCCCUUUGGAUGUUCAGACUCUCUUUCUUCCUUUCACUGUUGUCCAACACAUACGAGCGGCUCUUUCUGACUGCUUCGCUUCACUGCUUCUCAGGCGAGGCCGAACUGACUAAUCAUCCCAGGUGUCAAGCCGGUACCUGUCCGAUGUCCUCUCCUCCCACAGUGUGAUGCGUCAUGGCUCCGGUGCUGAGUGGAGUGUGGUGGGGGCCGGAGGCGGGGGUCG